Brienomyrus brachyistius is the source of this 1217-nucleotide long non-coding RNA. RefSeq lists it as uncharacterized. Lineage: Eukaryota; Metazoa; Chordata; Actinopteri; Osteoglossiformes; Mormyridae. The transcript has 4 exons. The record is from RefSeq and is a predicted model, not a curated record.
UGGAGGGGCGAUGGCGUAUUCAGUUUGCUGAGGACGCGGACGAAGGAGGUGAUAGGGAUAUCUGGCUUAAUAACGGCUAUAAUUUGAUUUUUCUUACUUAUUUUUCUUAAUGUAGCCAUAAAUGUAUGCGGCUGCGUGACGUGCCACUAUUGGAUUUCUGUGGAUGCGGUCUGGUCAAUACGAAACGUCGACUGGGGCUUCGAUAAACUAGGUUGGUCCUGGCUAGUUAGCCAUGGUAGCUCAGACUAUGGCGGUGCGAAGCGGAAGUGGUGAAGAUGGCGUCCCGGAAGUCGCCCUGCUGGCCGACAAGGGACAGGUACUCCGCCCCCCCAAGUAUCUGGUGAGACGGUCCGGCUGGAAAACCGCAGGUAUUUGCUGGGUCAUGGGCACGCUGCCCUCCGUGCUUGGGGGAGUGUGCCAAUGUUGGAGUCCAUCGAUGCACAUCUGCUGAUGCCCCAGAAGUUAUGAGCGCAAGGUGUUAAGGAUGAGAAGCAGCUGAUGGACCCACAGUGCUACUAGAACCUCAACCUGCCCCUGCUGAUUUGCACCGAGUCUGCGGUGAGGAACGUCCACGACAACCAGUGUACAAGGAACGGGACUACUUUUCGUGGCGGAAGGGGAUCGGAUGAGGUGGCGGCGUCCUUAUUCACGGAUGAUACAAAAGCACGUAGCAAGCAGAGAGAUGCUGAAAAGGGGGCAAGGAAGCCACCUGUCAGGAGGACGUCCGCCGCCGCCGUCACCACUUCUGGGAUGUCACAGAAGUACUGAAAAUUAAACUUUUAUACAUAUACACUUGCGUCUGUUCCUGCGAGAUUGAGUCUCAGACUGCAGCUCGCAUGGGUUCGGCCUCUGAGAUUCUGACGUAAAGGACGAGCUAAUCCCAGCUGCAGGAGCCUCCAGCGUGCUUGUCUCGCUUUCUGUACUGCAAAGUCCCCGUGGGGCAGCUGUAUGUGUGAAAUCACUCCUGGCAUGUCUUGGGGGGGGGGGGGUUGUGUUUGUCAUCUUAAUACACCCCCAGCCCUUGGUGUAUGUUGUUUUUAAACCUCUCCUAGGGGACACCCAGCCAUUCCGUUUCAUUUUGCUAUCCUGUCUGUCCCUCCUUCAGCCAUGCUUACAUCUCCCAUGUGCGUGUGGCUGGGGCUCCUGCAGGAGAGGUUUACGAGCCUGUGAUGUAGGAGAUGUAAGGAAGGAAUUAAAAUAAAGAACAGAACCAGCCA